Molecule: long non-coding RNA, 823 nt
Organism: Lolium rigidum
Lineage: Eukaryota; Viridiplantae; Streptophyta; Magnoliopsida; Poales; Poaceae
Exons: 4
Source: RefSeq, a predicted model, not a curated record
AUCGAAGAGAUAACACGACAUUGUUGUAUUGUUAGUUUCAUGGACGUUUGUGGCAAGCUAAUUCUGUCCCACCAUGGAAGCUCACUUCCGUGUGGAAAUUGUUUGAUAUUUAGUGUUGUCUAAACUAAGCGGUUUGAUUGGAUGGUAUUUGAUGAUGAAUGCUACUCCAAAGAAAGGCAUCUCAUUUGUUUGGAGGAGUAUUCUCAAAGGCAUGAAUUUGCUGAAAAUAGGAUUCAUCUUCCGAGUUGGCAAUGGUGAAAACAUAAGUGUCUGGUCAGAUCCAUCGAUUCCUAGAGGGAGCACACUCAAAAUCAAGGUAUGUGAAUCCUUUGGCCAGAAGAUGGGAUGUGGAGCUUUUCUGACACACUUUGGCCUGAAGAUGCUGAUACUAUUCUCAAGAUUCAUGUCCAAGAAGACACAGAGGAAAAGAAGUCUUUCUUUUACUGUAAAAAGCUAUGACGCACUCUCUCUUUCCCAAUAAGGUGUUCAGCCUACCCCUUAGAAUGAAGCUCUUUAGGAAAGAAAGGAAAAAGUGCUCCCAGUGGAAAAUGCACAAAAGUGGAAACCACCACAUUCAGCUAUUUUGAAGAUAAACAUCGAUGGCGCUUUCAGUAAGUCAUCAUUAUCUGGAGUUGGGGCUUCACCAUCAAGAAUGACCAGGGUGUGCAUUACUGGCAGUAGGUGCAUGCAAAAUCUGGAACAUGUCGCUAACCCACCAUAUGCAGAAGCUCUAUCUUUACAACAAUUGCCUAUCAUUGUCACUCCAAUGGGGCGCCAAACUGUAAUGUUUGAGACAGACUCCAUGAUUCUGAAGCAAGCUAUU